CCUUCCUCCAAGGGCUACAUGCACAGCGCCCCCUGACUGCAGAUUGCCACUUGCCCCUCCCCACGUUGUUGGCCCACUCAAAGACACAGAAGAACUAUAACACAAAAGCCGUGUUCCUCUGGUGUUCACCACAACUGAGUCAGCCUGCGAUUAAAGAACAGCACAUUUCUAUGGUUGUCACAGAGGCUGGAUUCUUCUGCUGGCACGAAGUAUUCUAAAAGAGAAUGGAAAAUUACCCAUUUACUUCAAAGAGCCAUGCUGAUUUCCUCGAAAUAUGUGGCACUUGCGUGUUGCCAGGGGCAACUGAUUAAUUCACAGAGAUCCUGCCUGUGACUGACAGCUUAAGAAAGGAAGAAAAUUCCCUGGAAACUGAAAGAUGCUAGAGGACACAAUCUGGCUCUGAUGUCACUACUGAGAGACACUUCUUUUUUCCUGAGUACAGUAACUAAUAAAUUCCUCCAAAUAAUGUC
Molecule: non-coding RNA, 470 nt
Organism: Rattus norvegicus (Norway rat)
Lineage: Eukaryota; Metazoa; Chordata; Mammalia; Rodentia; Muridae
Source: RefSeq, a predicted model, not a curated record